This 1619-nucleotide ribosomal RNA is filed under the name Escherichia coli. Its description in RNAcentral is "partial 23S ribosomal RNA". It matches the Rfam family "Bacterial large subunit ribosomal RNA", at positions 1291 to 2890 of the family's 2925-position model. The record is from RNAcentral. Lineage: Bacteria; Pseudomonadati; Pseudomonadota; Gammaproteobacteria; Enterobacterales; Enterobacteriaceae.
CGAAUGCUGACAUAAGUAACGAUAAAGCGGGUGAAAAGCCCGCUCGCCGGAAGACCAAGGGUUCCUGUCCAACGUUAAUCGGGGCAGGGUGAGUCGACCCCUAAGGCGAGGCCGAAAGGCGUAGUCGAUGGGAAACAGGUUAAUAUUCCUGUACUUGGUGUUACUGCGAAGGGGGGACGGAGAAGGCUAUGUUGGCCGGGCGACGGUUGUCCCGGUUUAAGCGUGUAGGCUGGUUUUCCAGGCAAAUCCGGAAAAUCAAGGCUGAGGCGUGAUGACGAGGCACUACGGUGCUGAAGCAACAAAUGCCCUGCUUCCAGGAAAAGCCUCUAAGCAUCAGGUAACAUCAAAUCGUACCCCAAACCGACACAGGUGGUCAGGUAGAGAAUACCAAGGCGCUUGAGAGAACUCGGGUGAAGGAACUAGGCAAAAUGGUGCCGUAACUUCGGGAGAAGGCACGCUGAUAUGUAGGUGAAGUCCCUCGCGGAUGGAGCUGAAAUCAGUCGAAGAUACCAGCUGGCUGCAACUGUUUAUUAAAAACACAGCACUGUGCAAACACGAAAGUGGACGUAUACGGUGUGACGCCUGCCCGGUGCCGGAAGGUUAAUUGAUGGGGUCAGCGCAAGCGAAGCUCUUGAUCGAAGCCCCGGUAAACGGCGGCCGUAACUAUAACGGUCCUAAGGUAGCGAAAUUCCUUGUCGGGUAAGUUCCGACCUGCACGAAUGGCGUAAUGAUGGCCAGGCUGUCUCCACCCGAGACUCAGUGAAAUUGAACUCGCUGUGAAGAUGCAGUGUACCCGCGGCAAGACGGAAAGACCCCGUGAACCUUUACUAUAGCUUGACACUGAACAUUGAGCCUUGAUGUGUAGGAUAGGUGGGAGGCUUUGAAGUGUGGACGCCAGUCUGCAUGGAGCCGACCUUGAAAUACCACCCUUUAAUGUUUGAUGUUCUAACGUGGACCCGUGAUCCGGGUUGCGGACAGUGUCUGGUGGGUAGUUUGACUGGGGCGGUCUCCUCCUAAAGAGUAACGGAGGAGCACGAAGGUUGGCUAAUCCUGGUCGGACAUCAGGAGGUUAGUGCAAUGGCAUAAGCCAGCUUGACUGCGAGCGUGACGGCGCGAGCAGGUGCGAAAGCAGGUCAUAGUGAUCCGGUGGUUCUGAAUGGAAGGGCCAUCGCUCAACGGAUAAAAGGUACUCCGGGGAUAACAGGCUGAUACCGCCCAAGAGUUCAUAUCGACGGCGGUGUUUGGCACCUCGAUGUCGGCUCAUCACAUCCUGGGGCUGAAGUAGGUCCCAAGGGUAUGGCUGUUCGCCAUUUAAAGUGGUACGCGAGCUGGGUUUAGAACGUCGUGAGACAGUUCGGUCCCUAUCUGCCGUGGGCGCUGGAGAACUGAGGGGGGCUGCUCCUAGUACGAGAGGACCGGAGUGGACGCAUCACUGGUGUUCGGGUUGUCAUGCCAAUGGCACUGCCCGGUAGCUAAAUGCGGAAGAGAUAAGUGCUGAAAGCAUCUAAGCACGAAACUUGCCCCGAGAUGAGUUCUCCCUGACCCUUUAAGGGUCCUGAAGGAACGUUGAAGACGACGACGUUGAUAGGCCGGGUGUGUAAGCGCAGCGAUGCGUUGAG